UCAAGUGAAUAAGCGCACAUGGUGAAUGCCUUGGCGAUAAGAGGCGAUGAAGGGCGUAGUAAUCUGCGAAAAGCUUUGGUGAGUCGAUAACAGGCUAUGAACCAGAGAUUCCCGAAUGGGGCAACCCAACCAGCGUAAGCUGGUUAUCCUGCACUGAAUACAUAGGUGUCAGGAAGCGAACCCGGAGAACUGAAACAUCUAAGUACCCGGAGGAAAAGAAAUCAACCGAGAUUUCCCAAGUAGCGGCGAGCGAACGGGAAUCAGCCUGCAAGUGAUAAUAAUCGUAUUAGUGGAAUCAACUGGGAAGUUGAGCGAUACAGGGUGAUAGCCCCGUACACGAAAAUACGGUUAUGGUACUAGGCUUGCGACAAGUAGGGCGGGGCACGAGAAACCUUGUCUGAACAUGGGGGGACCAUCCUCCAAGGCUAAAUACUACUUAUCGACCGAUAGUGAACCAGUACCGUGAGGGAAAGGCGAAAAGAACCCCGUUUAGGGGAGUGAAAUAGAACCUGAAACCGUGUGCGUACAAGCAGUAGGAGCAGACUUGUUCUGUGACUGCGUACCUUUUGUAUAAUGGGUCAGCGACUUAAUUUAUGUAGCGAGAUUAACCGAAUAGGGGAGUCGAAGGGAAACCGAGUCUUAAUAGGGCGAAUAGUUGCAUGGAUUAGACCCGAAACCUGGCGAUCUAUCCAUGGGCAGGUUGAAGGUGGGGUAACACCUACUGGAGGACCGAACUCACGUAUGUUGAAAAAUGCGGAGAUGACCUGUGGAUCGGAGUGAAAGGCUAAUCAAGCCAGGAGAUAGCUGGUUCUCCUCGAAAGCUAUUUAGGUAGCGCCUCGUGUAUCACUCUUGGGGGUAGAGCACUGUUACGGCUAGGGGGUCAUCCCGACUUACCAACCCGUUACAAACUCCGAAUACCAAGAAGUGCAAUCACGGGAGACACACGGUGGGUGAUAACGUCCAUCGUGAAAAGGGAAACAACCCAGACCAUCAGCUAAGGUCCCAAAAUUAUCACUCAGUGGAAAACGAAGUGGAAAGGCAUAGACAGCUAGGAGGUUGGCUUAGAAGCAGCCAUCCUUUAAAGAAAGCGUAAUAGCUCACUAGUCGAGUCGGUCUGCGCGGAAGAUUUACCGGGGCUUAAGUGAUAUACCGAAGCUAUGGACGCCAUUUAUGGCGUGGUAGAGGAGCGUUCUGUAAGCGGAUGAAGCUAACCUGUAAGGGUUGGUGGACGUAUCAGAAGUGCGAAUGCUGACAUGAGUAACGAUAAAGGGGGUGAGAGGCCCCCUCGCCGAAAACCCAAGGUUUCCUGCUCAACGUUAAUCGGAGCAGGGUGAGUCGGCCCCUAAGGCGAGGCAGAAAUGCGUAGUCGAUGGGAAACAGGUUAAUAUUCCUGUACCUCUUGUUACUGCGAUGGGAUGACGGAGAAGGUUAGAUCAGCUGGCGAUUGGUAGUGCCAGUUUAAGCGUGUAGAUGUGUGGCUUAGGUAAAUCCGGGCUGCUUUAACAUUGAGGCGUGAUGACGAGUCCUCUUUUGGACGAAGUGAUUGAUACCCUGCUUCCAGGAAAAGUCUCUAAGCUUCAGGUAACAAGGGACCGUACCCCAAACCGACACAGGUGGGUGGGAUGAGAAUUCUAAGGCGCUUGAGAGAACUCUGGUGAAGGAACUAGGCAAAAUAGCACCGUAACUUCGGGAGAAGGUGUGCCUUUUAGGUGAAGCGACUUGCUCGUGGAGCUCAAAAAGGUUGCAGUGAAAUGGUGGCUGCGACUGUUUAUUAAAAACACAGCACUCUGCAAACUCGCAAGAGGACGUAUAGGGUGUGACGCCUGCCCGGUGCCGGAAGGUUAAUUGAUGGGGUUAUCUUCGGAGAAGCUCUUGAUCGAAGCCCCGGUAAACGGCGGCCGUAACUAUAACGGUCCUAAGGUAGCGAAAUUCCUUGUCGGGUAAGUUCCGACCUGCACGAAUGGCGUAACGAUGGCCACACUGUCUCCACCCGAGACUCAGUGAAAUUGAAAUUGCGGUUAAGAUGCCGUAUACCCGCGGCUAGACGGAAAGACCCCGUGAACCUUUACUAUAGCUUUGCACUGAACUUUGAAUCUAUCUGUGUAGGAUAGGUGGGAGGCGUUGAAACCGAGUCGCUAGAUUUGGUGGAGCCAUCCUUGAAAUACCACCCUGGUAUAUUUGGAGUUCUAACCUAGGUCCGUAAGCCGGAUCGGGGACAGUGUAUGGUGGGUAGUUUGACUGGGGCGGUCUCCUCCCAAAGAGUAACGGAGGAGCGCGAAGGUACCCUCAGCGCGGUCGGACAUCGCGCAAUGAGUGCAAAAGCAUAAGGGUGCUUGACUGCGAGACAGACACGUCGAGCAGGUGCGAAAGCAGGCUUUAGUGAUCCGGUGGUUCUGUAUGGAAGGGCCAUCGCUCAACGGAUAAAAGGUACGCCGGGGAUAACAGGCUGAUACCGCCCAAGAGUUCAUAUCGACGGCGGUGUUUGGCACCUCGAUGUCGGCUCAUCACAUCCUGGGGCUGUAGCCGGUCCCAAGGGUAUGGCUGUUCGCCAUUUAAAGUGGUACGCGAGCUGGGUUUAGAACGUCGUGAGACAGUUUGGUCCCUAUCUGCCGUGGGCGCUGGAGACUUGAGAGGAGCUUCUCCUAGUACGAGAGGACCGGAGUGGACGUACCUCUGGUGUUCGGGUUGUCAUGCCAAUGGCAUUGCCCGGUAGCUAUGUACGGACGGGAUAACCGCUGAAAGCAUCUAAGCGGGAAGCCCACCUCAAGAUAAGGUCUCCCUAGACAUUUAAUGUCUCUAAAGGGCCGUUGAAGACUACAACGUUGAUAGGCUAGGUGUGGAAGCGUGGUAACACGUGAAGCUAACUAGUACUAAUUACCCGUGAGACUUGACCAU
RNAcentral lists this ribosomal RNA (2896 nucleotides) under metagenomes. RNAcentral describes it as "bacterial LSU rRNA". It matches the Rfam family "Bacterial large subunit ribosomal RNA". The record is from RNAcentral.